UACGAAGGGGGCUAGCGUUGCUCGGAAUUACUGGGCGUAAAGGGCGCGUAGGCGGAUCAGCAAGUUGGGGGUGAAAGCCCGGGGCUCAACCUCGGAAUUGCCUUCAAAACUGCUGAUCUAGAGUACGGGAGAGGUGUGUGGAACUCCGAGUGUAGAGGUGAAAUUCGUAGAUAUUCGGAAGAACACCAGUGGCGAAGGCGACACACUGGCCCGUUACUGACGCUGAGGCGCGAAAGCGUGGGGAGCAAACAGG
RNAcentral lists this ribosomal RNA (253 nucleotides) under uncultured bacterium. RNAcentral describes it as "partial 16S ribosomal RNA". It matches the Rfam family "Bacterial small subunit ribosomal RNA", at positions 524 to 776 of the family's 1533-position model. The record is from RNAcentral.